AGUAUAGCUCAGUGGUAAAGAGCUCUUGUCUAAUAUGUGUGAGAUCCUGGGUUCAACCCCCAGUACU
This 67-nucleotide transfer RNA is filed under the name Heterocephalus glaber (naked mole-rat). It matches the Rfam family "tRNA". Rfam says of the family: Transfer RNA (tRNA) molecules are approximately 80 nucleotides in length. Their secondary structure includes four short double-helical elements and three loops (D, anti-codon, and T loops). The record is from Rfam by way of RNAcentral. Lineage: Eukaryota; Metazoa; Chordata; Mammalia; Rodentia; Bathyergidae.